Molecule: ribosomal RNA, 461 nt
Filed under: uncultured organism
Description: partial 16S ribosomal RNA
Rfam family: Bacterial small subunit ribosomal RNA
Source: RNAcentral
GUACACUCCUGCGGGAGGCAGCAGUGGGGAAUAUUGCACAAUGGGCGCAAGCCUGAUGCAGCGACGCCGCGUGGGGGAUGAAGGCCUUCGGGUUGUAAACUCCUUUCGCUAGGGACGAAGCUUUUUUGUGACGGUACCUAGAUAAGAAGCACCGGCUAACUACGUGCCAGCAGCCGCGGUAAUACGUAGGGUGCGAGCGUUGUCCGGAAUUACUGGGCGUAAAGGGCUCGUAGGUGGUUUGUCGCGUCGUCUGUGAAAUUCUGGGGCUUAACUCCGGGCGUGCAGGCGAUACGGGCAUAACUUGAGUGCUGUAGGGGUAACUGGAAUUCCUGGUGUAGCGGUGAAAUGCGCAGAUAUCAGGAGGAACACCGAUGGCGAAGGCAGGUUACUGGGCAGUUACUGACGCUGAGGAGCGAAAGCAUGGGUAGCGAACAGGAUUAGAAACCCCGGUAGUCCCAUGA